This 90-nucleotide transfer RNA is filed under the name Nostocoides australiense. Its description in RNAcentral is "tRNA-Ser". It matches the Rfam family "tRNA". From Rfam's summary of the family: Transfer RNA (tRNA) molecules are approximately 80 nucleotides in length. Their secondary structure includes four short double-helical elements and three loops (D, anti-codon, and T loops). RNAcentral also lists the same sequence under 39 other names. Lineage: Bacteria; Bacillati; Actinomycetota; Actinomycetes; Micrococcales; Intrasporangiaceae. The record is from RNAcentral.
GGAGGAUUCGCAUAGUGGCCUAGUGCGCACGAUUGGAAAUCGUGUUGGGGAUGAAACCCCUCGCGGGUUCAAAUCCCGCAUCCUCCGCCA